This is a non-coding RNA of Gymnothorax javanicus (giant moray), 69 nucleotides long. Lineage: Eukaryota; Metazoa; Chordata; Actinopteri; Anguilliformes; Muraenidae. The record is from the annotation of a GenBank genome assembly.
UCCGGUGGCCCAGUGGUAACUCUCCCACCUCCCGUGUGGGUGACCCGGGUUCAAAUCCAGCCAUUGGCA